GACGAACGCUGGCGGCGUGCCUAAUACAUGCAAGUUGAGCGCUGAAGGUUGGUACUUGUACCAACUGGAUGAGCAGCGAACGGGUGAGUAACGCGUGGGGAAUCUGCCUUUGAGCGGGGGACAACAUUUGGAAACGAAUGCUAAUACCGCAUAAAAACUUUAAACACAAGUUUUAAGUUUGAAAGAUGCAAUUGCAUCACUCAAAGAUGAUCCCGCGUUGUAUUAGCUAGUUGGUGAGGUAAAGGCUCACCAAGGCGAUGAUACAUAGCCGACCUGAGAGGGGGAUCGGCCACAGUGGGACUGAGACACGGCCCAAACUCCUACGGGAGGCAGCAGUAGGGGAUCUUCGGCAAUGGACGAAAGGCUGAACGGUCAACGCCGCGUGAGUGAAGAAGGGUUUCGGAUCGUAAAACUCUGUUGGUAGAGAAGAACGUUGGUGAGAGUGGAAAGCUCAUCAAGUGACGGUAACUACCCAGAAAGGGACGGCUAGCUACGUG
This 497-nucleotide ribosomal RNA is filed under the name uncultured bacterium. Its description in RNAcentral is "partial 16S ribosomal RNA". It matches the Rfam family "Bacterial small subunit ribosomal RNA", at positions 28 to 507 of the family's 1533-position model. The record is from RNAcentral.